RNAcentral lists this long non-coding RNA (317 nucleotides) under Phaseolus vulgaris (common bean). RNAcentral's name for it is "long non-coding RNA (PVUL_LNC000192)". The record is from RNAcentral. Lineage: Eukaryota; Viridiplantae; Streptophyta; Magnoliopsida; Fabales; Fabaceae.
ACCAGUAAUACUUUUUAAAACAAAGUUGUCAACAUAUCAGACAGAACUUUUAAGUUCAAAAUACAUUGGAUUCUCGAUAUACAAAAGAAAGUUUGCUAGAAAAAGGUUGACACACUGAAGUAGUUAAUAACAUGAGAACCUCUUCUUCAUCCAAUGAUGUGUUCUGAGUUGUUUAUUGUUAUGCUAUGUGCUAGUGAUUUAAAAGAAUCAAAAACAAAAGAAGAAUGAGAGGAAGAGUAUGAUAAUGCUGGCACAUGCAGAAGAUGCUGUCAAGAGAAUCCAUGCAUUAAUGCUCUUGUUUUGUAUCUCUUCUUCCC